Molecule: long non-coding RNA, 290 nt
Filed under: Mytilus galloprovincialis (Mediterranean mussel)
Lineage: Eukaryota; Metazoa; Mollusca; Bivalvia; Mytilida; Mytilidae
Source: RNAcentral
AUUAUCUUUAUAAAAUGGUACAAUACGCUACCCAUUUCUUGUUUGUGGAUAUAAUUCGUCAUAUUUUGUUAAAAUUGAGCCCCAAAAUAAAAGAUCCUACACCGAAGAAAAAGUGAUCAAUAUGCUGUAGUUUCUCAUGUACGAUAUAUUUCUUGAACUUGGAGGUACAAUCUUAUAGAAAGGACUGUUUCAUACCUUGAUAUUUUCCUCAAUAUUGACACAGAUGGACGACUUCAAACUAAAAUAUAUGACAAACGGGACAAUUUCAACUUCCAAAUUAUCAAUUCCCC